CGGGUUGCUUGAGAGUGCAGCUCUAAGUUGGUGGUAAACUCCAUCUAAGGCUAAAUAUGACCACGAGACCGAUAGCGAACAAGUACCGUGAGGGAAAGUUGAAAAGAACUUUGAAGAGAGAGUUAAAGAGUACGUGAAACCGUUCAGGGGUAAACCUGUGAAACCCAAAAGAUCGAAUGGGGAGAUUCAUCGUCAGCGGCGCUGGCUUCCGUGUGGAUCGCGAUGCUCUCGGGGUCUCUCGGCCUCGGUGUCACGCGUCCGCUGCGGUAUGUCCGACGCUCGUCGUCGUGCACUUCUCCCCUAGUAGGACGUCGCGACCCGUUGGGUGUUGGCCUACGGCCCGAUCGGUCGACUGUAACGAGCGCGUUAACGCGCGCUCGCUGCAGACCGUCGGUUGCCCGGCCGACUGCCCGGCGGUAUAGAUCGCUAUGAUAAAGGUAUUGAGCCGCAUUAAGUGCGUUCUGGCUCGACGGCAGCCUCGCCUCGCUCGGAUUUUUACGGACCCAGUGCCGUUGCCGGGCGCUUGGCGCGGGCGUUCGCCGUCGAUGUCCUCGAACUGGCUCGUUACAAUCUCGAAAUACCGGUCGGCGACGCUACUGCUUUGGGUACUUUCAGGACCCGUCUUGAAACACGGACCAAGGAGUCUAACAUGUGCGCGAGUCAUUGGGACUUGUUUUGAAGCCUAAAGGCGAAAUGAAAGUGAAGAUCGACCUUAAGCGUCGAUCGUGGGAGGAUGGCUCGCGUUACGAUGCGAGCCCGCACUCCCGGGGCGUCUCGCGCUCAUUGCGAGCGGAGGCGCACCCAGAGCGUACACGUUGGGACCCGAAAGAUGGUGAACUAUGCCUGGUCAGGACGAAGUCAGGGGAAACCCUGAUGGAGGUCCGUAGCGAUUCUGACGUGCAAAUCGAUCGUCGGAACUGGGUAUAGGGGCGAAAGACUAAUCGAACCAUCUAGUAGCUGGUUCCCUCCGAAG
This 973-nucleotide ribosomal RNA is filed under the name Antrocephalus sp. D1891. RNAcentral's name for it is "eukaryotic LSU rRNA". It matches the Rfam family "Eukaryotic large subunit ribosomal RNA", at positions 266 to 966 of the family's 3401-position model. Lineage: Eukaryota; Metazoa; Arthropoda; Insecta; Hymenoptera; Chalcididae. The record is from RNAcentral.